AAUCAACGCUGGCGGCGUGCCUCAGACAUGCAAGUCGAACGCGAAAGGCUCCUUCGGGGGCCGAGUAGAGUGGCGCACGGGUGAGUAACACGUAGGUAAUUUGCCUUUGGGUGGGGAGUAACUCAGGGAAACUUGAGCUAAUACCGCAUAAUGCAGCGGCUCGACAUCGAGACAGUUGUUAAAGCGGGGGAUCGCAAGACCUCGCGCCUGAAGAGAAGCCUGCGGCAGAUUAGCUAGUUGGUAGGGUAAUGGCCUACCAAGGCGACGAUCUGUAACCGGCCUGAGAGGGCGGUCGGUCACACUGACACUGACAUACGGGUCAGACUCCUACGGGAGGCAGCAGUCGGGAAUUUUGGGCAAUGGGCGCAAGCCUGACCCAGCAACGCCGCGUGAAGGAUGAAAUCCCUC
Molecule: ribosomal RNA, 408 nt
Filed under: uncultured bacterium
Lineage: Bacteria
Description: bacterial SSU rRNA
Rfam family: Bacterial small subunit ribosomal RNA
Source: RNAcentral